AGGAGCAGGGAGUCGGGCGGCGGCUCCAUUGUUCAGCAUUUAGCCAGUGUUUAUCUUCGUGGUGGAGACAUUGUAUCGUAACACAACCCUUCAAACAGAUAGUUCAGGGCGAUCCCAUCACAUUUGGUCAUUUCCCGACACCGCGGGAUGCUGUGGUGGUCAUCCCGGGCGUGUUGACCUGGGGGUCGCCGCCCCCCCUCCCCGGUCAACAACACGACGGAUUGUUGACUUGGGACAACAAUGACAGUGGCCGCCACUCACCAGCUUUAUCCGUCAGUAAACUUACGCGUCGGCUUACUAUAUUACAAGCACAAGCCUACAUGGUCGCUACAUCAGCAAGUAAGAGUGUUGCAGGAAGCAUAAACUCUGAGACAGCGUGUGCACUAUCUUUAAUAGACAACCUUGGAAUAUCACAAGCAAAUGACGCCAUCACAACAAUUAUCACUACCCAGUGCCCGUGGAAUAGUGAGACAGCAGCAACAACGUCAGACUUUGACCCAGCGUGACGCCCGAGGCCUCACACUGCUCACUAUACACCUCUUGCAGUCAUCUUGAGUACAUUACCCUCAUGCAAACGGCGUGCAUCGGUAAAAGAAUCCUGCAGUGUUUAUUUAGAGUCGAGGAGCACUAUUGCUGGGCCUUGACACCAGUAGAGAGGAUGUCUUAGUCGCCACUGUAGGGGACAAGAAACCCAUUAAUUGGUGAACAAACCUGUAAUUGGUGUUCACCAGGACGUGGCCCAGGCUAGCUGUUUACCUUCAUUAGGAUGCUACCCACAACAGCUUCCUACUCCCAGGUCUUCUUGAAGUGUGAAGUGUGUGCCCUGUGCUCUGCCUGGGAGUGUUGUACUGUCUAAAGCUCCCACUUGUGCAGCUUCCAGUAAUUGGUGGAUUCUGACUCCAUGGUCCUCGUCAUCACUUUGCUAAAAGGUAGUUAUCCAGACCUCUGCGAAACAAAUCCCUGGUUUUCCUGUUUCAAGACCAGGUGUAAACAAACAUUGCACUAACCCCCCCCGCCUAUCCUGUGUUGAGUGCAACCAAAGCAGUUACUGUGAUUUCAAAAGUGCAGGUGAAAUGACAUAGGAAUGACCUAGGAAGAUUCUGGUGCCCUCCUGAAGUGGAUAAGCAGUUUAAGUCUGUCCUUGGCACCUGGCCACAGUGCUUGUGAUGGAAGGGUGGUGGUGCAAUUGGAGAUUGGAAAAGCAAGGCAAAUGGAAACUGACAAUUGAAACACAGAUGAGUCAGAGAACCAUAAGGAAAUACUGUACUCAUAUUUAAAGCAAGUAUGCAAAAGCAUUAGAACAUCUAGAAGUAUGAGAGCUUCAGAUAGAAGCUAUGAGGUGAGGCCACUAAGCAAGAUUUUGCUCCUCAUAGGAAUAGGUAAGCAUGUCUACAGAAAAAAUAAUUUUAAAGAACAAAUAAUUUAUAAUACUGAUGUACAUAAAUGCAUCCAGGAUCUACUGUGUUAGCUAAAAACUACUUGUGUGGACUGUAAUCUAUCCUAUUCACAGUGCAUUGAAAUUAUCCUAUUUAUCACAGUGCACAGUAACAGCCCUAUUCACAGUGUCCUGGAAAACUAUUCUACACUUAGUAGCCGGGAUCCUAUCCUGUUCUUAGUGCCCUUCUUAUCUUGAGAU
Procambarus clarkii (red swamp crayfish) is the source of this 1636-nucleotide non-coding RNA. The record is from RefSeq and is a predicted model, not a curated record. NCBI's taxonomy places the organism in Eukaryota, Metazoa, Arthropoda, Malacostraca, Decapoda, Cambaridae.